GGGCCUAUAGCUCAGUUGGGAGAGCGUUCGGUUCGCAUCCGAGAGGUCGAGGGUUCGAGUCCCUUUAGGUCCACCA
This 76-nucleotide transfer RNA is filed under the name Oscillospiraceae bacterium. RNAcentral describes it as "tRNA-Ala". It matches the Rfam family "tRNA". From Rfam's summary of the family: Transfer RNA (tRNA) molecules are approximately 80 nucleotides in length. Their secondary structure includes four short double-helical elements and three loops (D, anti-codon, and T loops). Further hydrogen bonds mediate the characteristic L-shaped molecular structure. tRNAs have two regions of fundamental functional importance: the anti-codon, which is responsible for specific mRNA codon recognition, and the 3' end, to which the tRNAs corresponding amino acid is attached (by aminoacyl-tRNA synthetases). tRNAs cope with the degeneracy of the genetic code in two manners: having more than one tRNA (with a specific anti-codon) for a particular amino acid; and 'wobble' base-pairing, i.e. permitting non-standard base-pairing at the 3rd anti-codon position. Lineage: Bacteria; Bacillati; Bacillota; Clostridia; Eubacteriales; Oscillospiraceae. The record is from RNAcentral.